This 2178-nucleotide long non-coding RNA is filed under the name Limulus polyphemus (Atlantic horseshoe crab). RNAcentral describes it as "uncharacterized LOC111088183". Lineage: Eukaryota; Metazoa; Arthropoda; Merostomata; Xiphosura; Limulidae. The record is from RNAcentral.
GGCUCAGAAAGACACUUUUGAGAAAAGUCGAAUGAUAGUCUCCGUUCUUCCAAGAGCAUGGUUUUUGCAACCUGCUGAAGGAACACUUCCCCAGUUAGAAAUGUUUUGCAGCUUUUUAAAAAGAUUUGCUUUGUUUUUACUUGAUGAAGGAAAAGCUGGCCAAGAAUCACGAGAGAGCGUUAAAGAGAUCAAGAAGAUGUUGAUCAGCAUCGGAUCCCUACAAAAUGCAAGAAUUAUUAGUGAUGCACUUACUUUAUAACAACAUCCAGUCAGCAUUACAUACAAAUAUGAUAUACUUUAAUAGGUGAAGCAGCAUAAGAAUACAAAUCUCAUGUUAUUUAAUAAAAUGAUUUCUUAAUUUUAUUCAUUGAUAGUAAUAGCAAACAAACUUACUUCCCACCCACCUCUCAAAAAAAACAUGGAUGGUUAGUUGAAAAUAUGCUCUUAAAUGUUUUGAAAAUAAUUUUCUGUCAUUACAUUUAACAAAACAAAGAUAAGAAUACUUAAAGUAUCAAGUAUUGAGCUUGAAAUAUCAAUGAGAAAAAUGUGUAAAUAGAUAUAUAUAUUAAACUAAACAACCAUGAAAAUAUUUCAAAACACAAAUAUAUUAAAUCUCAUCCAAAAUUAAAAUAAAGAAAAUUAGGAUGAGGGGUGGUAAUUGAAAUGUUGUCUGGAAGAAAAAAAAAAAGGUCACUCCUUUGUUUAAUUUCUAUAUUUUUUAAAUGUAUGUUUUUACAAGUUCACUUGUGGUUAUUUCAAGCUUCUAUGUACAACUUGGUAUUGUAAGGGUUCCUAUUAUUAUUUUAGAACAGUGUCUCCCAACCACUGUGGCGUGGAUCAUUAUUUGCCGGGACAUGAAAUGUUGUAUAAAUAUUUCACCAAAGCUAAAAAAAAAAAAAUUUAUCAGUAACUUUCACUAUUGUUAUCUGCCUCCAAUAAUUAACUUUAACCUUUCCGCAAUGGGUAGGUCAAAGUGCACACGUCACAACAUUUUAAUGAUUUCCAUUCAAAAUAUAAUUAAACUACUUAAUUAUCAUGGUAUACAAAUAAACUUCACAUCAGAACAUAGAUAAUAAAUCAAAUUUUAAUAUUAUAUAAGUUUUAAGUUCUUAAUUUUAUAAGGAAAUAUUUAAAAAAACUUCAAUCUCCCCUAGUGUGAGAAUUUUGACAUUUGUUCUCUAGGAAUCCUCUCUUCUCAAAUUUAUUUACCACCCUUCUGAGAAGUACAAAAUCUAAUGUAAAUUAAUCUAUGAUGUUGUCAUCGAUCAUGCAAAGCAAAAUAUUUAUACCCUUCAAUCUUAUUUGUCUAACUCUAAAGAGCAAUUUAAUAGAAAAUCAGACCUCUCCUGCCAUACCCAUCUGUCACAUCCUCUAUUUUAAAAUAUUAGAAUACUUACAGCUAAUGUUAUUACUGGGGCAUGAUGAAAUAUUCAAAAGAUCUACCGGGGUGCAGUAGCUUUUGGGUUGGGAAACACUGGUUUAGAAGUUAAUAUAAUCUUGUAUUAUAUUUUUGAUGUGUUAAAUUUUCUUUUCUUUAUUGGAGACUAAAUAUUUAAAAUCACAGUAAACAUAUACUUGAACAUGCUUAUGUAUAUAGUUCAGCACUGUAAUGUGGUUGUAAACUGAUCUUUUCUUGUAAAAUAUCAGUUAAAGUAAACAAUAUAAAAAAUAAAAAUUCUCAUGCAGACACUUGUGAAGUUACCUUUUGUUUUUUUAGUUUCACAUUUUCAAAUUCUUAUUUGCUUAACUAAAGUUUUCAUUACACAAAUAUGUUAUAUUAUAUCUCAAAGUCAAAUACUUAGAAAGACAUAGAGAAAAUGCAUAAUUUAACUUAAAAUAUCCUUGCUAGUAAGCCAGCAAAAGAAUUAUAAUUUAAGUUAGGUAAAUAAUAAUAUGAGGUAUGUAAUAGUAGUUUGAUAAGAAGCAUAGUGUGGAGUAAUUCUUUACUAAAUUGUUAAAUACAUCAUAAAAAACCUUGUGUCUUUAAGUCAGAAUCAGUAAAAUUAUUACAAAAAUUUCCAUUGAAGUUUCAAAUAUGUUUGAAUUUUAAACUGAACACUAAAAAUGAUGAAGGAACAGUUUUACUAGAAUACCUAUGUUGCUCAGCUUAUUUUUAUCAUUUUUAAUUAAUGAAAUGAUGAAAUAAAGUAAUUAAUUUUUUAAAAAAGAUUUCAAAUA